UGAGCCCAUCGCUGUGUUCUUCUGUCUGC
RNAcentral lists this non-coding RNA (29 nucleotides) under Mus musculus (house mouse). Lineage: Eukaryota; Metazoa; Chordata; Mammalia; Rodentia; Muridae. The record is from RNAcentral.